Anolis carolinensis (green anole) is the source of this 7137-nucleotide RNA transcript. It is a transcript of the gene named oocyte zinc finger protein XlCOF6-like, with no coding region annotated. The record is from RefSeq and is a predicted model, not a curated record. The transcript is spliced from 2 exons. Lineage: Eukaryota; Metazoa; Chordata; Lepidosauria; Squamata; Anolidae.
UUGUGUCUGAACUCCCAGGAUCUGCCAGGACCUCCCUCGGUGGCGGAAGAGCGAGAGGCGGGGCGAGUGUGCUCAGAGGCCUCCCGGGUGGGGCUGGGCGCCCUCUCUGGCGGGAGGGAGAACUACAACUCCCACGGGCCAGCCCCUCCCCUCCCCUCCCCUCCCAUUGGCUGAGCCAGUCCCGGGGGCUCCGUGUGCCGAGGGCGGGCCAGGCCCAUCCUGGGUGGGGGUCCCGGUGUCCCCGGUUGAGGGCGAACUACAACUCCCAGGAGGGAAGGAAGGAAGGCCUCACAGUCCGUGGCUUCACAGGCCUCUCUCUGCCCACACAAGCCCCGCCUUGCCGCCCGUCAAUCAAAGGAGGGGGAGCGGCAGGCAGCCAAUGGGGUUCCUCCGGUGGGCGGGGCAUCCCGGGCUCAGCCAAUGGGAGGGGGCGAGGGCGGGCUCCGGGGAAGGAGGAGGACGAAGGGGAAGAUGGCGGCGCCUGGCCUGGCCUGAGGCCUGGUCUGUGUCUGUGAGGCGGGAAAGAAGGCGGCGGAGGGAAGAGGACGGAGAGGCCGAGAGAGAGAGAGAGAGGACAUGAGACUUCUCUGGAGCCACCCCUGCCAUGAUGGGAAACGAACCAGCUUCUAGUAGAUAUUAAGGCAUCUGGAAACCAAAGUGCAGUAAGGAAACCAGUCCCCUAGGAAAAAGGAUUCCUCUCAAGGGGCUGAUCCUGCUGAAUUCCUACAUUCACUUUGGAUUAUAGAGUAGAACCAUAGAGUCAGAAGAGACUGCAUGAGGCACCCAGUCCAGGCCUCUGCCAUGCAGGAAAAGCACAAAGUACCCCUGACAGAUGAGCAUCUAGCCUCUGUUUAAAGGAUUCCAAAGGAGCCUUCAUUACAUUUUGAGGCAGAGAGUUCCACUGCUGAACAGCUCUUACAGUCAGGAAGUUCUUAAUGUUCAGAAGGAAUCUCCUUUCCUGUAAUUUGAGCCCACUGCUGUGAGUAAUCAGAAAGGGAAAAACAAGAAUCAAGUAUCAACAUUGGAACUGAAUGUACAUAACACUGCUGACAUGGAGGAGAGAGCAUAUAAAUGUAUUGACUGCGGAAAGAGCUUUAGUUAUAGUUCAGCUCUACAAACACAUCAAAGGACUCACACUGGGGAGAAACCCUUUACAUGCCUGGAGUGUGGACAGAGCUUUGCUCAGAAGGGAAACUUACAAGCACAUCAAAGAACUCACACUGGGGAGAAACCCUAUAAAUGCCUAGAGUGUGGACAAAGCUUUAUUACAAGUGGAAGUCUACGUUCACAUCAAAGGACUCACACUGGGGAGAAACGCUAUAACUGCCUGAAGUGUGGAAAGAGCUUUACUCAGAAGGGAAGCUUACAAAUACAUCAAAGGACUCACACUGGGGAGAAACCUUAUAAAUGCUUGGAGUGUGGAAUAAGCUUCAGACAGAAUGAAGCUCUACGUUCACAUCAAAGGACUCACACUGGGGAGAAGCCCUUUAAAUGCCUGGAGUGUGGACAGAACUUCAAUUAUAGUUCAACUCUACGUCAACAUAAAAGGACUCACACUGGAGAGAAACCCUAUACAUGCCUGGAGUGUGGACAGAGCUUCGCUCGUAAUGGAAGUUUACAUUCACAUCAAAGGACUCACACUGGGGAGAAACCUUAUAAGUGUCUUGAGUGUGGACAGAACUUCGCUCAUAGAUCAGGUCUAUUUUCACAUCAAAGGACUCACACUGCGGAGAAACCCUAUAAAUGCCUGGAGUGUGGACAGAGCUUUUCUCAUAGUGGAAAUCUACGUUCACAUCAAAGGACUCACACUGGGGAGAAAGCAUAGAAAUGCAUGGAGUGUGUCUAUAAUAUAUUAUAACAUUAUAGACAUUGUAUAAUUCACCCUGGAGAGAAUGGUGUUAAUUGUCACCAGAGUGUCAUUCUAACAUGUACAAAAGUAACUCUUGCAAAUUUUGGAAAUGCAAGCUCAGAGUUGGGACAUUUCAUCACAUGUGGUGUAUUGUAGAAAGAUCGAACUAAAAUACGUUCCAUUCUGAAAGUUUAGUUUAUAUAUCCAGAUCCGAGACUUGACAGAGAUCUGACCCGUCUCUUGUAGCAAGAUUACAUUAGGCUCACAGCUUGGGAGGCUAAGGAUGCUUAUUAAAAAAUUUGUCUGGAUGGCUUCUAAAGCCUUGACACUUUUGAAUGCACAUAAUUGUGCUCCAUAUAACAUUUGUGGUAAGAUUUUAGCAUUAAAAACUUGAAUUGGUGAAGGUACAUGCUGGCCUCUUUUAGCAUAAAAAAAUGACAUAAGUGAGUUGUAACUCUGCUGAGCAUUUGUUAUAGCAUGGGACACUUGAGCUUUCCAGGAACCGGUGGAUUGGAAAAUGACUCCUAGAUAUUUAUACAGUUUGACUUGUUCUAUUGGGUGCCCCAUUGAUUUGCCAGCUGUGUGAGCAUCUUUUCCGAGUAAAGUCUAGCACGAUUGAUUCAUCAUAAUUAAUUGCUAGCUGUUCAGUAUUACAGUACACAUCUAAUGUUUUUAGAAGCCGCCUCAGCCCAACACGUUAAUGAUAAAAGUACCGCAUCAUCUGCAUAAAGUAAAACUGAUACUGCUCUCCCAUCCAAUUUAGGGGGGUGAGGGUUUAUUUCUAAGAGUGAGUUCACCACAGGGUUAAUAUAAAUAUUAAAGUGGGAGCAAGAACACAACCUUGCUUUACUCCCGUAAAUGAGGGUAUCGGAAUGUCAGAUGGCCUUCGCGGUUACAUCUUACUUGCAAAUGUGUUUUUUCAUAGAGGCUGCGAAUGAGAGCCAGCAGACGCCUGUCUAUGUUGGUGGUAUCAAGUUCGCUCCAAAGUCUGUUUCUUGAGAUUGAGUCAAAUGCAGACUUAAAAUCUAUAAAGGCUGUGUAAAGUGCUGCCCUGGAGGGAGAGGAAUAUUUUUCUACUAAAUGUUGCAAUAUUAGGCUCUGACCAACAGUUGAGCGUCUGAUCCUAAAACCAGCUUGUUCCUCUUCUAAGAAGUUUUCUUCUUCCAACCAGGUUAAUAGUUUGUCUAGCAAUCCAUUUGCUGAUGAUGCUUAGAAGGCUAAUUGGUCUGUAGUUGGCAGGAUCUGAUCUGUUGCCUUUUUUAUAAAUAGGGAUAAUUAUUGCAAGCCCCCAGUCAGAUGGUAUACAAGCAGACCGGUCAGUGCAUGUGAACAGAACUGCUAAGACAGGUAUCCACCAGUCAGAGUUUGAUUUCAGCAGUUCAGGGGGCACAUGAUCACUUCCUGGGGCUUUGCUUGGUUUAAGUUCAGAAAUAAGUCUGCCAAUUUCAGAUGUUGAAAUGGGGCCAGUUUGGUAGCCCCUUUAGAUCUUGUGGUGUUAGUAAAUCUCCAGCUUGCCUCCAUCCACUCAUACUGAUGAAGAAUUUUUCCCACGGUUGUUGUAUGUUUUCCGGGCUGUAUGGCCAUGUUCUAGAAGUAUUCUCUCCUGACGUUUCGCCCACAUCUAUGGGAGGCAUCCUCAGAAGUUGUGAGGUAUGGAGAAACUCAGCAAGGAAGGUUUAUAUAUAUCUAUGGAAAGUUCAGGGUAAGGGAAGAACUCUUGUCAGUUGGAGGCCAGCGUGAAUGUUGCAGUUAAUCACCCUAAUUUGCAUUGAAUGGCUUCAUCUACUGGCUACUUUCUGCCUGGGGCAUCCUUUGUUAGCUGCCCCUAGUUCCCAUGUCUCAGAGGGUUGCUUCUUAUUUACUGUUCUGAUUUUUGAGUUUUUCAAUACUGGUAGCUAGAUUUUGUUCAUUUUCAUGGUUUCCUCCUUUCUGUUGAAGUUGUCCACAUGCUUGUGAAUUUCAAUGGCUUCUCUGUGUAGUCUGACAUGUUGGAGUGGUCAAGCAUUUCUGUGUUCUCAAAUAACAUACUGUGUCCAGGUUGGUUCAUCAAGUGCUCUGCUAUGGCUGAUUUCUCUGGUUGAGUGAGUCUGCAGUGCCUUUCAUGUUCUUUGACUCGUGUUUGGGCGCUGCCUUUGGUGGUCCCUAUGUGUACUUGUCCACAGCUGCAUGGUAUACGGUAGACUCCUGCAGAGGAGAGAGGAUCUCUCUUGUCCUUCGCUGACCAUAGCAUUUGUUGGAUUUUCUUUGUGGGUCUGUAGAUAGUUUGUAGGUUGUGAUUCUUCAUCAGUUUGCCUAUGCGGUCAGUGGUUCCCUUGAUGUAUGGUAAGAACACCUUUCCUCUGGGUGGAUCUUUGUCUUUACUCUCCUGGCUUGCUCUUGGCCUUGCAGCUCUUCUGAUGUCCAUGGUGGAGUCUCCAUUGGCCUGUAGAGCCCAGUUUAGGUGGUUUAGUUCACCUUGGAGGAGGCAAGGUUCGCAGAUUCUUUGUCUGUCAGGGCUUUGAUUGUGCUUCUUUUUUGACUUGGGUGAUGGUUGGAGUUUUUAUGAAGGUAUCUAUCUCUGUGUGUAGGUUUUCUGUAAACUGUGUGGCCCAAUUGUUGAUUGGGUUUGCGGAUGACCAGAACAUCUAGAAAUGGCAGUUUUCCUUCCUUUUUCUUUUCUAUGGUGAAUUGGAUGUUUGGGUGGAUGCUGUUGAGGUGGCCCAUGGACUUGCUGGGUUCCUCUUCCCCAUGGCUCCAAAUGGUAAAGGUAAAAAUGGUAAUUUCCCCCAUGAUUUCACAGGGAUGUGGAAGUCUAAUCCAUGAGGCAUGCUUUGCCAACCCCCAGACACUAUCUUCCAAAAGGCAGCUGUGUCAUGUGUUCGCGAAGCAGCAGUUAGUUUCUGCCAGUUUGAUCUCAAUACCUGUUUCUUUUUUUCCUUAAUUAAGUUUUUGUAUUUCUUCUUCAAUUGCAGCCAUUCUCCAGGUAGUGAUGCCAAGUUUGACUUCCUGUACCCUUUGUACUUUUCGAGGAGCAACUUCUUCAUUUCUAGACACUCUUGUUCAAACCAAGAUUUGGAUGAAAAAUGGCAAAAGUGCUUUUUAGUGUGGUUAUUGCACUGCAGGUAUUUUUGCAGUUGUCUAAUGAGGUCCUGAUAUGAGCGCAGUACAUCUUCUGGUGUUUUUGCAGAUAGGAGGGCAUCUCUUAAUUUGAGAGUGCUUUCUGAAUAUAGAGCAGCCUCAAGUCUGAUUCCAGGUUCAGACUCUGUAAGUAAGCCCCAUGCCUCAAGAUUUAGGACUGCACUUAAAGGUAAAUGGUCACUCUCAGUUCGUACCACCACUUUGAAGCAUAUGACUAGAUUUAACAAAUUAUGUGAUACUAUUAAGUAUUUGAUUGUUGAUGCCCCCAUGCCAGAUGUAAAGCUGAAUUCACCAUUUUGUAUCUUUCCACUCCCCCAUUCAAGAUCACUAGGUCCAAAUGAAACUAGAGUUUUACAUGUUGAGAAUAUUGGAUGAUCAAUUAGAAUGAAAACUUGGAUAGUUACUGCAAUAUACUAAUGUAAGAAUUGACUCUACACAGGGAUGGAAGGAAUGUUUUAUUCCAAAGCAAAAACAAUGGCUCAUGAAGACCUACAAAUUAGCCAAAGCAAACGAACUGACAACAACAUGGGCAAAUGUCAGUUGUAAUAUGUAUUAAUUGGAUGAGUGUUAUCAGAAAUAUAAGUGUGGUUAUAUUAUCUAAAGGAAGUAGAAUAAUGAGAGAUAAAAAUUAACAGAAUGAGGCCUUUAGGCACGUAUCCCUGUCUGUUUUCUAGUUCAGUUGUGUGUCUGUGUAGGUAACUGUUUCGUUAGUGUGUUUCUGAUUUAGUUUUGUAUCUCAUUUAGUAGUUAGUUUCAUGUGUAGUUGAUGUAUUAUAUCUAAAUUCUGUCUUUCUUGUAUUGCUGCUUUUAAUUUCUCUUUUUUGAUUUUUUUUUAUUUGCAAAAAAGAGGUGGAUUUAUAAGGGUCAAAACUGCUGAAACUGGUUUUAGCCCAAAAUGGGGUUUAAUGUUUAAUCUAGACUGCCUCUGAACAUCAUUUCCUUCCUCCGUGUUGGUGGCAUGGGUUUGGAUUCAAUUGUCUUGCUUCAGACAUUAUUGUUCCUAUUAUGCUUUAUACAACAUGUAUUCACUGCUUUGAUCACCAUCUAUUCUUUUUCACUGUCUUGUCUGUCCCUCAAACUCCUUCAGUAUGUUCUGUUGGUCUGUUGGCCAUCAGGGUUCUGUGUGCUAAGCUUGGUCCCCAUCCGUCAUUGGUGGGCUUCCGAAUGCUCUCUGGAUGCAGGGUGAACUACAACUCCAGAAUCUGUGUGCCAAGUUUGGUCAACAGCUUGUUUUAUUCUGAACCCAAAGGGUUCCUGUUCUUUUGAUGCAGAGUGUUCAGGAAAGAGUGAGGUCUGUUAGAUCACGGAGGCACUUCAGAGACAAAUCUGGUUGCUUUGCUGUGAAACCAUGCAAACACGUUCACACAAAUUGGAAGAUUUGGUUCAUACGGAUUUUAAGUUAAUAACUUUUAAAAAAUAGAAGAUAAAAUUUGGAAAGCCCGGGAUGGUGGAGCCUCUGAUGUUAUGAGCUUAGCGGUAGAGGAUGCUCUGAGAUGGAGGCGGAGGCUAGAUGUUAUAAGCUAAGCAGUGGAGGAGGCUACGUGAGAAGGAGGCCACUAGAUGUUAUAAUCUCAGUGGUAGACGAGGCUCUGAGAUGGAGGCCACUAGAGGUUAUAAGCUGAAUGAUGGAGGAGGCUCUGAGAUGGGAGGCAGCCGCUAGAGGUUAUAAGCUGAAUGGUGGAGGAGGCUCUGAGAUGGAGAAGACCACUAGAUGUUAUAAGCUGAACAGUAGAGGAGGCUCUGAGAUGGAGGAGGCCUCUAGAGGUUAUAAGCUGAGCAGUAGAGGAGGCUCUGUGAUGCAGGCGGCCAGAGGUUAUAAGCUGAGUGGUGGAGGAGGCUCUGUAAUGCAGGUGGCCAGAGGUUAUAAGCUGAACGGUGGAGGAGCUCUGUAAUGCAGGCGGCCGCCAGAAGAUAUAAGCUGAGUGGUGGAUGACGGGUCCCAAAAGUUACCUAUGUCUCCAGUAAUCAUCUCUCUUGGUUCUAUAAUUUCCUCAUAGCCCUGUGCGUUGUAUGUUUUUGCCCUGUUUCUCCUUCCGCUCCCCCCCCCCCCCGCCAUAUUGUGCUUUAAUAUCUUUACAUUUUAAAUGUACUAAACGUACCAAGUUUGUAUGUAACUGUAACCUUUAUUUCCUUUGCUGGUUUAUGACCGAAAUAAAUGAUGUGAUUUGAAA